CAGGCAUUCAGCACACUAUCAAAUCCAUCACAUGCUUGUUGGUUCCUUCCUUCAGUCAGACAUGGUAUAUUUAAAGUUCUUUGCAGUUCCUCAAGAGGUGUGGAAAAAUAUUUUAUAUCUCUGUAGAAAAGCACCUCAGUUCCAAUUAAAAGAUCAUUCCAGUAUACAUGUGGAGAGCCAGCAGAAGAGAGUUUGUAAUUAAUUGCAGCGUCCCCAGAGAAACAAUA
RNAcentral lists this long non-coding RNA (227 nucleotides) under Homo sapiens (human). Its description in RNAcentral is "HSALNT0050538". The record is from RNAcentral. Lineage: Eukaryota; Metazoa; Chordata; Mammalia; Primates; Hominidae.